Molecule: long non-coding RNA, 782 nt
Organism: Tachysurus fulvidraco (yellow catfish)
Lineage: Eukaryota; Metazoa; Chordata; Actinopteri; Siluriformes; Bagridae
Exons: 3
Source: RefSeq, a predicted model, not a curated record
UUAAACACAUUGUAGAAUGUAUAUGUCCUUUUAUUCUAUUCUAUUCUAUUCUAUUCUAUUCUAUUCUAAUCUAUUGUUAUACUUAUUAGCUUGUUAAUGAGUUUUUGGCUGCGUCUUUUGUCGUUUUCAAUUCAAUUCAAUUCAAUUCAAUUUAUUUUUAUAGCACUUUUAACAAUUCCCAUUGUUUUAAAGCAGCUUUACAGAGCCGGAGGUGACGGCGGCAAGAAGGAAAAACUCUGAGAAAAAAAACUCCAGGCUUAGAAGGGAUCCCAUUCUCAUUUGGGUGACACUCUACAAUUCUCAACUUUCUAGUCCAUGACCAGACCUCAAAAUGGGACGGAGAAGGGGAUGUGAUGUCCGGUCCUGUCCAUCUGACACUCAGCCUUUCAGUCCACACACACACACACACACACACACACACACACACACACACACACACACACACACACACACACACACACACACACACACUCCUCCACAGAGAGCCAUACUGACACACACUCCUCCAGCACUUCCAGAUGUCAUGAUACCUGCAGAGCACAAAGCACAGCAUUUGCAUGGUGUCUGACUUCUUUUACCCCAACAUGGGUGGUGUGGAGAGCCACAUCUAUCUGCCCUCACAGUGCCUCACAGAGAAGGUAGUGAUAGCAACACAUGCCUAUGGCAACCGGCGUGGCAUACGCUACCUCACCAAUGGUCUGAAAGUUUAUUACCUCCCUCUCCAGGUCUGUGAGUUAAUCUCAACCUCAUAAGGUUAAAGUAAAUGCUUUGGGUAUUGAUCA